GACGAACGCUGGCGGCGUGCUUAACACAUGCAAGUCGAACGGUAAGGCUCCAGCUUGCUGGGGUACACGAGUGGCGAACGGGUGAGUAACACGUGGGUGACCUGCCCUGCACUUCGGGAUAAGCCUGGGAAACUGGGUCUAAUACCGGAUAGGACCGCACCGUGAGGGUGUGGUGGAAAGUUUUUUCGGUGUGGGAUGGGCCCGCGGCCUAUCAGCUUGUUGGUGGGGUAAUGGCCUACCAAGGCGGCGACGGGUAGCCGGCCUGAGAGGGUGGACGGCCACAUUGGGACUGAGACACGGCCCAGACUCCUACGGGAGGCAGCAGUGGGGAAUAUUGCACAAUGGGCGGAAGCCUGAUGCAGCGACGCCGCGUGGGGGAUGACGGCCUUCGGGUUGUAAACUCCUUUCACCAUCGACGAAGGGUUUCUGACGGUAGAUGGAGAAGAAGCACCGGCUAACUACGUGCCAGCAGCCGCGGUAAUACGUAGGGUGCGAGCGUUGUCCGGAAUUACUGGGCGUAAAGAGCUCGUAGGUGGUUUGUCGCGUCGUCUGUGAAAUUCCGGGGCUUAACUCCGGGCGUGCAGGCGAUACGGGCAUAACUUGAGUACUGUAGGGGAGACUGGAAUUCCUGGUGUAGCGGUGAAAUGCGCAGAUAUCAGGAGGAACACCGGUGGCGAAAGGCGGGUCUCUGGGCAGUAACUGACGCUGAGGAGCGAAAGCAUGGGGAGCGAACAAG
RNAcentral lists this ribosomal RNA (736 nucleotides) under uncultured Corynebacterium sp. Its description in RNAcentral is "bacterial SSU rRNA". It matches the Rfam family "Bacterial small subunit ribosomal RNA", at positions 28 to 776 of the family's 1533-position model. Lineage: Bacteria; Bacillati; Actinomycetota; Actinomycetes; Mycobacteriales; Corynebacteriaceae. The record is from RNAcentral.